UGAGGAAUAUUGGUCAAUGGGCGCAAGCCUGAACCAGCCAUCCCGCGUGAAGGAAGAAUGCGCUACGCGUUGUAAACUUCUUUUCCAGGGGGAGAAUUUUCCUGUCGAGACAGGGAUUGACGGUACCCUGGGAAUAAGCAUCGGCUAACUCCGUGCCAGCAGCCGCGGUACUACGGAGUAUGCGAGCGUUAUCCGGAUUCUUUGGGUUUAAAGGGUGCGUAGGCGGAUUGAUAAGUCAGUGGUGAUAUUCUGCAGCUCAACUGUAGACUUGCCGUUGAUACUGUUAGUCUUGAGUGUGGUCAAGGAAGGCGGAAUGUAUAAUGUAGCGGUGAAAUGCUUAGAUAUUACACAGAACACCGAUUGCGAAGACAGCUUGCUGGGUCAUUACUGACGCUGAUGCACGAAAGCGUGGG
This 413-nucleotide ribosomal RNA is filed under the name uncultured bacterium. RNAcentral's name for it is "bacterial SSU rRNA". It matches the Rfam family "Bacterial small subunit ribosomal RNA", at positions 355 to 765 of the family's 1533-position model. The record is from RNAcentral.